Molecule: long non-coding RNA, 455 nt
Filed under: Mus musculus (house mouse)
Lineage: Eukaryota; Metazoa; Chordata; Mammalia; Rodentia; Muridae
Description: long non-coding RNA chrX:75723671-75724126
Source: RNAcentral
AUGGCCAAGCGGCGUGCGGCUGAGCCGCUCACGUUCCGCGUGCCUUGGAAGCGGCUCCUGCUCAGCGACUUCCCCGAGGAGCCGCCGCUCUGGGUCCCGCCGUCUGGGACGGCUCGGCCCCUCAAGCGCCAGGGGGACGCGGGGAUCAUGGCGGGGACGACAGACAGGAGCUGCAGGGCUGUAGCCGGGAGCCCGGAGAGCCGCCUCCUGGCGAGCAGGAGGAACCCCGGGCUGCGGGCGGCGGCGACAGAGUAGAAAACGCGGGAAGCCCGCAGGUAGCCGACCGGGUGCACAGCCAGCAGCCUGAAGAGUUUUGGCAGUAUAAUACAUUCCAGUAUUGGAGGAACCCUCUGCCCUCUCUUGAUCUGGCAGCUCUUGAAGAUGUGAGUGCAAACAGCCUGACAGAAACACUUGAGGACAAGAAUGAAGGAGUUGAGAUUGACAUGGAGUCCUGA